RNAcentral lists this ribosomal RNA (662 nucleotides) under uncultured bacterium. Its description in RNAcentral is "bacterial SSU rRNA". It matches the Rfam family "Bacterial small subunit ribosomal RNA", at positions 9 to 650 of the family's 1533-position model. The record is from RNAcentral.
GAGUUUGAUCAUGGCUCAGAACGAACGCUGGCGGCGUGCUUAACACAUGCAAGUCGAACGGGAUCCAGAGCUUGCUCUGGUGAGAGUGGCGCACGGGUGAGUAACGCGUGGAUAACCUGCCCUGGUAUCUGGAAUAACAUCUCGAAAGGGGUGCUAAUACCGGAUAAGCCUACGGAGCCCUCGGUCUCUGCAGGAAAAGGUGGCCUCUAUUUAUAAGCUACCGUAUCAGGAUGGGUCCGCGUACCAUUAGCUAGUUGGUAGGGUAAUGGCCUACCAAGGCUACGAUGGUUAGCUGGUCUGAGAGGAUGAUCAGCCACACUGGAACUGAGACACGGUCCAGACUCCUACGGGAGGCAGCAGUGGGGAAUUUUGGGCAAUGGGGGAAACCCUGACGCAGCAACGCAGCGUGAGUGAUGAAGGCUUUCGGGUCGUAAAGCUCUGUCAGAAGGGAAGAAAUGGGGCUGGCUAAUAUCCAGUUUCCUUGACGGUACCUUCAAAGGAAGCACCGGCUAACUCCGUGCCAGCAGCCGCGGUAAUACGGAGGGUGCAAGCGUUGUUCGGAUUUAUUGGGCGUAAAGCGCGUGUAGGCGGUUUCUUAAGUCUGAUGUGAAAGCCCUGGGCUCAACCCAGAAGUGCAUUGGAUACUGGGAGACUUGAAUACG